UCUAGUUUAACAUAUAUCAUAAUGUGAGAGGUUGUAAACUUCUUUAAGGCUACAGUCAACUAGGA
RNAcentral lists this transfer RNA (65 nucleotides) under Taenia hydatigena. Its description in RNAcentral is "tRNA-Tyr". The record is from RNAcentral. Lineage: Eukaryota; Metazoa; Platyhelminthes; Cestoda; Cyclophyllidea; Taeniidae.